AGCAAAGAUAAAAACGCAACGUGCAUCUGUUAUGGUGUGCCAGAGCCGGUAGGUAGCCCGGCCGUCUCAUCGCUGAUGAGGUAAGUAACCUGCCCUCCGGGUUGUCCGUUCUUUGUUCAUAG
Molecule: non-coding RNA, 122 nt
Filed under: uncultured Mediterraneibacter sp.
Lineage: Bacteria; Bacillati; Bacillota; Clostridia; Lachnospirales; Lachnospiraceae
Description: yjdF RNA
Rfam family: azaaromatic riboswitch aptamer (yjdF RNA)
Source: RNAcentral